AGAACGAACGCUGGCGGCAUGCCUAAUACAUGCAAGUCGAACGAACUCUUCGGAGUUAGUGGCGCACGGGUGCGUAACGCGUGGGAAUCUGCCCCUUGGUUCGGAAUAACAGUUGGAAACGACUGCUAAUACCGGAUGAUGACGAAAGUCCAAGGAUUUAUCGCCAAGGGAUGAGCCCGCGUAGGAUUAGCUAGUUGGUGAGGUAAAGGCUCACCAAGGCAACGAUCCUUAGCUGGUCUGAGAGGAUGAUCAGCCACACUGGGACUGAGACACGGCCCAGACUCCUACGGGAGCAGCAGUAGGAAUAUUGGACAAUGGGCGAAAGCCCGAUCCAGCAAUGCCGCGUGAGUGAUGAAGGCCUUAGGUUGUAAAGCUCUUUACCGAGAUGAUAAUGACAGUAUCGGAGAAUACGCCCGACUAACUCCGUAGCCAGCAGCCGC
This 440-nucleotide ribosomal RNA is filed under the name uncultured soil bacterium. Its description in RNAcentral is "bacterial SSU rRNA". It matches the Rfam family "Bacterial small subunit ribosomal RNA", at positions 26 to 518 of the family's 1533-position model. The record is from RNAcentral.